Gossypium raimondii (Peruvian cotton) is the source of this 144-nucleotide non-coding RNA. The record is from Rfam. NCBI's taxonomy places the organism in Eukaryota, Viridiplantae, Streptophyta, Magnoliopsida, Malvales, Malvaceae.
UGUUAAAAAUCUCAUCUGUUUCUACUAUUAAAAAUUGGUCAUUAUAUGUCAGAAUGAGUUACACAUGGCACACUAUGUGUAACUAUCUGAUUAUUCUGUCAAUAACACUAAUUUUUAAUAGUAAAAAUGGAUAAAAUUUUACUA